This is a long non-coding RNA of Homo sapiens (human), 1942 nucleotides long. NCBI's taxonomy places the organism in Eukaryota, Metazoa, Chordata, Mammalia, Primates, Hominidae. The record is from Ensembl.
GCUCCCUCCCUAGAUCUUCCAUCCAGGAUAGUCCUGGAAAUGAUCUUGAUGCUAUCUGUUCCUCGUUACAGCAGACCUGCUCAACUUCAGCAGCUAGAAGGAGGAUUGUCUUUCACCAGCUGCAGGAGCCUGUUCCCACUACAAGCCUGGUGGAGUCUUCGGAGCAGAUGUGACUGUCCUACUUGUAUAGAGAAGAGAAACUGAGGCUCAGAAGAGAUGCCUGGCUGAGUUUAAUAGGACUGCAACAACAAUUUUGCCUUUCUACUUUCUGACCGUUUGCAAAGAAAUUUCCUAAACAUCACCACUGAGGCUCCUUCCAGCAAUGACUCUGGUCCAUCAUUGGGAUUGCUGAGCAGCUGUUUCAUAACAUGAACAAGGAUGUUUUAACCAUGUUUCUUGACCUGGCCAUUUGGAUCCCAAGGAUGUUUUGGUCCAAGAAUAAAUUCCAGAGCUUAGCUCACCGAAGAAGACAGGAAAACUUGUCAGAUGGGGAAGGAUGUGUCAAGAGCAUGCACACAGAUUUACUCUUCAGCUAGAAGCUCCAAUUCCUAGAUGAUCUGAAUCCAACUCAGAGUGCUUGCACCUGUUUCCUGCCACACAGCUAGAGCUGUCCAGUGAGAGAGACAUGAUGGCCCAGCUUGAAAAAGAAAUUGAGGAUAGCAAGUGUAACAUACCAAGCAUUCCACGAGCAGUGUCCCUCUAGGUUCUCUGAUUGGCUGAAGCUACUCUAAGCCAAGAGAUCAAAGAAGCUGAUAAUGUAGAAUGUAAGUUUGUCUCCUGGGCCACAAUGGAAAGCAGAGACUGUAGCUGGAGGAGUGAAUAGAGGAUAUGCAGCUCUGGUAAUUCUCAGUACAAUUCCCAGUGGUCCACUCUGCAGAAUGAACCAAGUUCCAUUUUGCCCAACUUCUGGCAGUCCACAUUUGGACUGUGAGCUCACCUACAGAUAAAUCGUACGUGGAUUGAUGCAGUAACUGGAUUUGUAGCUGCUAAAUCUUAUUUAAGUGAGGACCUGUCCAGUACAUGUGAAGACCACCCAUCCACUGAAAGUGAUAAGUGAAGCUGAAUCAAUACUAGACUGAAUCAAUACUGAGCUGAAUCAAUACUUUCCCAAUUUUGAGGAAAUCUUGGAAAAUCUCUGAGAAAUGUGGUAGUAAUUAUUUUGAAGAAUUGGAAAACUUUAUAGCUGAUUAUGCUAUGUGUGGAAGAUACAACAGGAUUAUAAGAGAGAGAAGACAAUAUCCUUGCUGUGUCCAGAAGGCUUUAGCCGGGGUGUCCUACUGAGAGAUGACAAACUUAAGGUUUUUCUCUUCCCAGACAUUACUGGACAACUAGCUAUGUAAUUAGGUCUUAUGCCGAAAAGACUGAAAGGAAAACAUCUCAGAUCUAGGAAUGUGAUCAAGAAAGAAGGCUGGUUAAAGAAUAACAUGGGGAAAAUGAAUGCAGUGAAAUGGUUCACGCACAAGUUCUAGGAAUUCAGAGUGCAACAGCAGAAAUGCGAUUUUUGUUAGAUAUUUCAGAAAGUGAUGUGAGUCCCUGAGGUCAUACUGCAGCGUUCAGGUUCUGUUUGGCCUCCUGCACGAAGCUUUCCUUGAUUGGAAAAGCUGCAUACUCUGAAGCACAUCGCAUGUGUCCUGUCUGUAGUUCAUUUCAUUUCCCCAGAUUUGUUAUCAUCCACCAUCACUCAUACAAGCCUACCUUCUUCAUGCCAACCUUUGUAAUCUUUCUACCUUGCUAACCUGGUCAUGUCAAGGACCAGCUAAUAAAUAGCAAAGUUGUACCUUGAGCCAAGGUAUCUUGACUCUUAGUCCAGUGCUCUUUAUAUACCUCUGAAGUCUUAUUUGAGCUUCAAAAUUAUGAGUCUGUGCUCUCAAGAUUUUUUUGAAAAUGUACUUAAUGUUGCCCCUAAGCUUUUAUGAGAAAUAAUAAAGUUCUUUCCAGAUUG